This 253-nucleotide ribosomal RNA is filed under the name uncultured bacterium. RNAcentral describes it as "partial 16S ribosomal RNA". It matches the Rfam family "Bacterial small subunit ribosomal RNA", at positions 524 to 776 of the family's 1533-position model. The record is from RNAcentral.
UACGUAGGCAGCAAACGUUGUCCGGAUUUAUUGGGCGUAAAGAGCGUGUAGGCGGCUUUGCAAGUCCGUUGUGAAAACUCGAGGCUCAACCUCGAGACGCCGGUGGAAACUGCAAAGCUAGAGUCCGGAAGAGGAGAGUGGAAUUCCUGGUGUAGCGGUGAAAUGCGCAGAUAUCAGGAGGAACACCGGUGGCGAAGGCGGGUCUCUGGGCCGAUACUGACGCUGAGGAGCGAAAGCGUGGGGAGCGAACAGG